GAUAAACGCUGGCGGCGUGCUUUACGCAUGCAAGUCGUACGAUUUCGAUUUAUCGGAAUAGUGGCAAACGGGUGAGUAACACGUAAGUAACUUACCCCUAAGUAGGGGAUAACUCCGGGAAACCGGGGCUAAUACCGUAUGUGGUGAGGAGGUAAUGCUCCAUCACUAAAGUCUUCGGGCGCUUGGGGAGAGGCUUGCGUCUGAUUAGCUAGUUGGUAGGGUAACGGCUUACCAAGGCGACGAUCAGUAGCUGGUCUGAGAGGACGGUCAGCCACACUGGGACUGAGACACGGCCCAGACUCCUACGGGAGGCAG
RNAcentral lists this ribosomal RNA (315 nucleotides) under uncultured Chloroflexota bacterium. Its description in RNAcentral is "bacterial SSU rRNA". It matches the Rfam family "Bacterial small subunit ribosomal RNA", at positions 28 to 351 of the family's 1533-position model. The record is from RNAcentral. Lineage: Bacteria; Bacillati; Chloroflexota.